This 253-nucleotide ribosomal RNA is filed under the name uncultured bacterium. RNAcentral's name for it is "partial 16S ribosomal RNA". It matches the Rfam family "Bacterial small subunit ribosomal RNA", at positions 524 to 776 of the family's 1533-position model. The record is from RNAcentral.
GACGUAGGAGGCGAGCGUUGUCCGGAUUCAUUGGGCGUAAAGAGCACGCAGGCGGUUUGGCAAGUCGGAUGUGAAAACCCGAAGCUCAACUUCGGGCCUGCAUCCGAAACUGCCCGACUAGAGGUAGGUAGGGGAGAUCGGAAUUCCUGGUGUAGCGGUGAGAUGCGCAGAUAUCAGGAGGAACACCGGUGGCGAAGGCGGAUCUCUGGGCCUUACCUGACGCUAAGGUGCGAAAGCGUGGGUAGCAAACAGG